RNAcentral lists this ribosomal RNA (468 nucleotides) under uncultured bacterium. Its description in RNAcentral is "partial 16S ribosomal RNA". It matches the Rfam family "Bacterial small subunit ribosomal RNA", at positions 28 to 507 of the family's 1533-position model. The record is from RNAcentral.
GACGAACGCUGGCGGCGUGCUUAAUACAUGCAAGUCGAACGGAAAGGCCCUGCUCUUGUGGGGUGCUCGAUUGGCGAACGGGUGAGUAUCACGUGAGUAUCCUGCCCUUGACUUUGGGAUAACUUCAGGAAACUGGGGCUAAUAUCGGAUAGGAGCUCCUGCUGCAUGGUGGGGGUUGGAAAGUUUCGGCGGUUGGGGCUAGACUCGCGGCUUAUCCGCUUGUUGGUGGGGUAGUGGCUUACCAAGUCUUUGACGGAUAGCCCGCCUGAGAGGGUGACCGGCCACAAUGGGACUGAGAUACGGCCCAGACUCCUACGGGAGGCAGCAGUGGGGAAUAUGGCGCAAUGGGCGGAAGCCUGAGACAGCAACGCCGCGUGCGUGAUGACGGCCUUCGAGUUGUAAACCGCUUUCGCCUGUGACGAAGCGUGAGUGACGGUAAUUGGUAAAGAAGCACCGGCUAACUACGUG